UUGGCGACCGGGUCCACUUCGCGGGUCACCACGAGGUAGUUGCGCAGUGCGACGGCGUGCAGGUGCUC
Mycobacterium shimoidei is the source of this 68-nucleotide non-coding RNA. The record is from Rfam. NCBI's taxonomy places the organism in Bacteria, Bacillati, Actinomycetota, Actinomycetes, Mycobacteriales, Mycobacteriaceae.